GGCCUAUUUGGGAUUAUUUUGAGCAGAAUGAACCGAGAUCAUCAAAUUGAGUCUGCUGCAGUUAAUUCAUGCAGCGUAACAACAAGCUGAAUGGAUCCAACAUGGUGGUGUGAUAACCUGAAGUCAACAGCCAGAUGUUCAGUGAGUCAAAAGAGAACUUUUGAGCUUCCUUUGUUACGUUAUAUUUUAGGUUGGAUACUGUGAUUUGAUGCAAUAUAAUCUUCAGGAAGAUGCCCGGCAGCUCACUUUUAUUUAAUGUUUAAUAUGAUAUUUAAUGUCCUGUACAGUAGUUUUUAACAGUUUAAAUAAAGUGCCAGUUUUGUCUUUAUUGCACCGUCCCCAAGAACUGACAUCUUUCCUGUGCAGUAGGGUUAAAUAUUAAUUUAUGUGACUCAAUUUUUGUCUUCCAUCAUUAAGGUUUUAUUCUUCUCGUCUACAUUAUACAGUGAAGUGUCAAAAGAUUUAAUGAAGUACUGUACCUUUCCUUGUUCUGACUCAUUUCAUUAAUUCAUUUAAAGCAAAUUGCAUUUUAAGCACCAGUGGUAUUUGAAUGUCAGAGGGAUAAUAGAUUUGUUGGAGCAACAUUGAAGUUGUUAGAAUCUCCUUCUUAAGGUCAAACCCUCAUCACAGGUAAAGGUUAGAGAUAUUCCCACCAACCCAUGCCUUGUUUCUUUCUUUCGCACCAAAAUACUCAGCAGCACAACAGUCAUCAACAUUGCAAGGAGGCAAACUUCUCCAGCCUGCUGAUGAAUGUGAUGAACUUGGAGAAGGCUUUUUUACUUUCGCAGGCCCGAGUGUCUAUCCCCUGAAGACAGAAUUGCCGAGACACCACGAAGGCAAUAUUUGGCCCGCUCCAUCACUCUAAUUCACUCCCUGCGCAUCCAUAUUUCAUUUGGCCUCGGCUUUAAUGAAAGUCGUGGCAACUUCUCCACCACUGGAGUCUCUAAGCGCACACAUUGUGAGGGAAAAAAAUCAUAAAUAAGGACAUUGGCCUUCAUACAAAACAAUAUUGUAGGGAAUGAGGCCCUAAAGUUGGGCAGAGAAAGGGGGGUCAGUAUGAUGUAGCUUGGGAGGCCAUCUGCCUGACUAUCUCCUAUCCCAAAACCCCCCCUUCCUCCACUGCACAGACAAGUGCCUGUUUAUCCCAACGCCCUUCAGAAGACAUUUGCACAGGUCUCAUGUGCAAUCCAGUUAUCUUCCACUGGCCUGAAUAUGCUCAGAUUUUAAGUAGGGUUUGCUGUGUUGAGCUGGGCGUCCAUAUCCCCAGGAAGCAAACAUGACAUCCCCACUAAAAGGCUGCUGGGACACUGAGCUUGGCGCUGAGACUGUUACCUGCAUAUGCAUUGGGUUAACACAUCCCCCUUCCUGCCUGAUACAACACCGGCUCAGCAGGGAAAGUACAGCUUCAUAUCCAAUGCAGCUCUUUGGGAUGCUGUUGAUGUGAUAAGAAAACCUUAUUAGCUUAAUAUUGAGCCAUCUCUCUUAAAGAUUAUAUGAGGAAUUUCACUUUUUAUCAUUUAUUUUGGUAGAUUUUGGUGGCCGCUGUAGACUCAAACUCCCACUCUGAUUGUUUUGUUUUACUACUUUAAGUGUUCUCAAUGGUCUUUAAAUUGUGAUUAUGAAGUUUUAGCCAAAAUCAUGUUAACCUGGGUCAUUUUCAAGGGCUUUUCUUCUGCAGAGCUCCAGUAACUCAUUAGCAAUUCACCUCUGAGUCGUGGGUGGAGACAGCGGUGCUCUGCACACUCCCCUUCACAUUACCUUGCGGCCUAACAUUGUCGGUGUAGUAGAAGAAGUAGGUAACAUAGGAGCUAUCCAGCACUUGGACGCUAAUGUCUUUGGGGGUAUGAUGCAAUCCGCUAACGUAUACACUUGUUCCGAGAUUGUCCUCUCUACUUCUCUGAGUCGGGCCUACAUAGCGGGGCUCAGGGGGGCGGAGCUUGGAUUUGUGAUGUAGGAAUUUCACUUUUUAUCAUUUAUUUUGGUAGAUUUUGGUGGCCGCUGUAGACUCAAACUCCCACUCUGAUUGUUUUGUUUUACUACUUUAAGUGUUCUCAGUGGUCUUUACAUUGUGAUUAUGAAGUUUUAGCCAAAAUCAUGUUAACCUGCAAAAGUCUUGUGCUGCGUCCGAACUGCCCGCUCGGAUACUACAUGCUACUGCUACGUGCUACUGCUAGAUCCUACUCCUACAUACUAAAAACGUUGGCCCAAUUCGGACACACUAGACGAGCGGUGGGGAAAGACGACCCCCGCAGGCAGAGAGUAGGUACUGCGCCCGUGCAGACAGUGGUAACUGAAGCCCCUCAUCUGCGGGCCUGGCUGUAGUACUGCAGCUGUGCAGUUUAAUGAUGGAAUAAGUGAGCUUUACCUCCAUGAUGUCGCCACUUGCUCAUAAAAUGAUUACUUGGGCAAAUAUGACACCAUGACAUGACAAAGAGAUACAACCGCACAUUUUUUAGGACAGUGUGUGAAGUUACAUGAAACUUACAUCUGUACUGCCGCGGUCCCGCCUGCUGCUGCUGCUCCGACAUGGUGCGCGCUGCUGUGGCCAGCUGGCGUUCGCGACACUUUUAAAUAGGCAGAGCAGCUGGUGGCGCUAGCAUCACAUGCGCUUCUACAAUUUUUAAGAGGACGAAGAAGAAGCCCGCGGUGCAUUUUGGGUCAGUAGCAUGCCCGUAGGAUGCACCAGAAAAAUGUCAUAUUAACAUGUAAGAAACAAGAAAAUCAUGAUUUUCAUCAGAGUGGGUAUUUUAGAAAUGCACUUUAUCCUGCAAAAGUCUCGGUCUGAAUAAUAUGUACACUUGUUUGCUGAGAAAAUCAAAGAUAAACUCAUUUCAGGGUUUGGUCUGAAACUGACUCAGGAUCAGUUUCAGACCAAGCUUGACUCUAACAUGACUCUGCGCUCUUUUGCUGCAUCGUUUAGGUCUCUUGUUCACCAUUAAAUGCCCGGCUCUUAUCUGUGUACUGAUAAGGCCCUGUCAUACAGCACGGCGUUAGACUCAACUCCAACUGAAUGAUUGAGUUAAAUAUUUACAUUAAUAAAAGUAUCUUAAAAGACUGCACUCAUUACUGGUGUCCACUUUGUGCAAUGUAAUCUCUGCUGUUGUGCACAAUACCACAGGUUGCAGCUCUCUCUCACUCACUGGUGGUGCGCUCUCUCAGCUGAUUAUCUCAGAUAUUCAACAGAUUAAUGAAAGCUGUAACUAUGUCAUCAUUAUUCAAUUCAUCAUUUCUGAAUUAUUACACCAAACACACUUAUCAUAAUCUCCAUUGUGGUAUGGAUUUGGGAUUGGUGGCUGAGAUUAGGACACAAUACAAAGAAUCAUUUAGUGCAAUAUUAAAUAUGAUAUUCUAAUCUUUGGCCUGUUUGGAUUAUUUUGAAUUUCCGAUUUUCCAGAUGCUUCAUGAUGAAAAUGAAGGGCAGCAGAAAACAUCAUUUACCUGUAUUUGCUGGAAUUAAUGUAUCAACAAGGUUUCAAGUCGAUGGUCUAAACACAAAUAUAACUCGGUCUAUUAUCCUAUUACGGCCACUCAAAACCGGUAUGAUGCAGAGAGAGAGAUAAAGAACAGGCCGGGUCCAUCAGAGGACAUUAAACAGGGGCCAGCGAUGACUCUCUGCUUUCACACAGAGUACUGAGUACAGCAGGCUCAGAUCACUCAAGGUCUGCAGAAUUAUACAAAUAAAUUGCUACCAAACUCAUAUGCUGCUGUGUACAUAAUAUAACUGUGCCCGAAUCAAACACAAACAAAGUUAGAGGAAAGAUAAAUUAUUUUUUUGAUAAUUAAAACAAAAACAAUCAAAAUGUGAACCGAACUUGGCAUAUAAUACUCCAUGCACUCUUUCUCAGUGGUCUCAGCUAUCAGGAAUCAGUUUUAUAGUUUUUUUAAAUUAAGAGAAUCUCUUUUUUUAAUGUGGAAUUUGUGACACAUUUACAAAAGGACCUUACUGUAAAAAGAAAUCUGUUUCAAAGUGUUUCCUGCAGGUGAAGACUGACAUGUAACGAGCAAGUGUUUUCAUUUAAGCUGCGGCUGUAAAGAGGAUAGUCACAGAUGGAAAUGAGGGGGAAAAAUGCACAUUACAAAUAUCGCCUCAAGCUGCCACUUUAAAGACGCACGCUCAGCAUAAGGUAUUCACUUUGCAGAUAAAGGCGGUCUUUCCACUCAUAAUCAACGUAUACAGUAAUGCAUCAUUUUCUUCCAGAUAGCCAGAGAAGAAUUAGCUCAAAUUAUUUAAAGUUUUUGUUAAUUACUUUUGGGGCCUGAAGCUGUUCGUGCCUCAGAACUGCUGCAAAGUUUACAGCCACUCGGUCACAUUAGCUGACUUAUAAUUCAAGCACUUAUCACCCAACUCUAAAGCAGUGCUUUAUGAGGCAUCCAGCUCUUUAUCUGUAUGUACACCUCCAAUGUGAUCACAUGGUUAAAUGAUAUUUCUGCUAACACUCAUCCCUUAAAUUAAAAAAAGCAGUGGGCGUGCAUUUCUGUGGGCACAAUCUUACACUCCUGAUCUCAAUGGGGCAUUUAUGGAGGCUUUUAUAACUCUAAUUAUCUCAAGCCAUUACAGUAUAUCAACUUUUAGUGGUCCAUUGUAUACCCAAUAUGCAUCAACUGGACAGAUGCCUCAGUGGCACAGAAUAUUUAUCUCAAAUUAUAAGGCACAGAGGUUCAACUUCAGUUGAACGCAGUGCUUAAGGCUGACACAGUAAUGAACAGAGUGUACUAUUUUGUUUAAGUGUAACAUUGUUGCUGUGGAGCUGUGUUGCUUAUUAAUCAGUCACAGUGAGCCAGAGCAGCAUGAGGGUAGCCUUAGUGUCAAAAAGUGACACCAAGGUUUUAUCCUCCAUCUGUUACUCAGGGGUUACAUUUGCAUACAGAGUACACAAAGUACAGCAGAUUAAUGACACUAAUAAUACGAGCAUGGUGAUAUAAACUCAAAAACAAACAGGUAUAUAAGGACAGGGUUUUAGUUGGGAUAAAAAUGACAAUUCUGGAUAUUGGUAGUAUUUUAUCUUAUUUACCCCCUAAUAAGCAUUCAUCUGCAAUAUGUUUAGCACUUUUUAACUGGUUUUAUUUUCUCUUGAAUUUACAAAAUGCCACAAACAGGGCUUGACACUAACUUUUUUAAAGUAAAGAGCACACAAAGAACUUUAGGGGCACAAUGAAAAUU
This is a non-coding RNA of Xyrichtys novacula (pearly razorfish), 5161 nucleotides long. The record is from the annotation of a GenBank genome assembly. NCBI's taxonomy places the organism in Eukaryota, Metazoa, Chordata, Actinopteri, Labriformes, Labridae.